GAUGUAGCUCACUGGUAGAGCACCUGCCUAGUAUGCCCGAGGCCCUGGGUUCCAUCCCCAGCACA
RNAcentral lists this transfer RNA (65 nucleotides) under Marmota monax (woodchuck). RNAcentral's name for it is "tRNA.Thr". It matches the Rfam family "tRNA", at positions 6 to 65 of the family's 71-position model. From Rfam's summary of the family: Transfer RNA (tRNA) molecules are approximately 80 nucleotides in length. Their secondary structure includes four short double-helical elements and three loops (D, anti-codon, and T loops). The record is from RNAcentral. Lineage: Eukaryota; Metazoa; Chordata; Mammalia; Rodentia; Sciuridae.